Molecule: ribosomal RNA, 460 nt
Filed under: Lactiplantibacillus plantarum
Lineage: Bacteria; Bacillati; Bacillota; Bacilli; Lactobacillales; Lactobacillaceae
Description: bacterial SSU rRNA
Rfam family: Bacterial small subunit ribosomal RNA
Source: RNAcentral
UGGUGCUUGCAUCAUGAUUUACAUUUGAGUGAGUGGCGAACUGGUGAGUAACACGUGGGAAACCUGCCCAGAAGCGGGGGAUAACACCUGGAAACAGAUGCUAAUACCGCAUAACAACUUGGACCGCAUGGUCCGAGUUUGAAAGAUGGCUUCGGCUAUCACUUUUGGAUGGUCCCGCGGCGUAUUAGCUAGAUGGUGGGGUAACGGCUCACCAUGGCAAUGAUACGUAGCCGACCUGAGAGGGUAAUCGGCCACAUUGGGACUGAGACACGGCCCAAACUCCUACGGGAGGCAGCAGUAGGGAAUCUUCCACAAUGGACGAAAGUCUGAUGGAGCAACGCCGCGUGAGUGAAGAAGGGUUUCGGCUCGUAAAACUCUGUUGUUAAAGAAGAACAUAUCUGAGAGUAACUGUUCAGGUAUUGACGGUAUUUAACCAGAAAGCCACGGCUAACUACGUGCC